This 515-nucleotide ribosomal RNA is filed under the name Hygrophorus pudorinus. RNAcentral's name for it is "eukaryotic LSU rRNA". The stretch from base 161 to 314 matches the Rfam family "5.8S ribosomal RNA". Lineage: Eukaryota; Fungi; Basidiomycota; Agaricomycetes; Agaricales; Hygrophoraceae. The record is from RNAcentral.
CAUUAUUGAAUUUUUGAAGGGGUUGUAGCUGAUCUUUCGAGAUAUGUGCACACCUCUUGUCCAAAUCUUUACACCUGUGCACCUUUGUAGACAGUGACAUGUCUAUGUUUUUUAAUACACCCUGUUAUAAAAGUUCAGAAUGCUUGAUUAAACUUAAUACAACUUUCAACAACGGAUCUCUUGGCUCUCGCAUCGAUGAAGAACGCAGCGAAAUGCGAUAAGUAAUGUGAAUUGCAGAAUUCAGUGAAUCAUCGAAUCUUUGAACGCACCUUGCGCUCCUUGGUAUUCCGAGGAGCAUGCCUGUUUGAGUGUCAUUAAAUUCUCAAUCCCUCUUUCUUUCUUGAAAGAGGCUUUGGAUUUGGAGUGUUGCUGGCUUUUUGUUGGCUUCUCUUAAAUGCAUUAGCUUGAUAUUCUUUUGUGGAUAGGCUUUGGUUUGAUAAUAUCUAUGUCAUUGCCGUGAAAUAAAUGUUAGCUUCUAAUCGUCCUCUUUUGGACAACUCUUUGACAUUUGACCU